This 460-nucleotide ribosomal RNA is filed under the name uncultured bacterium. RNAcentral's name for it is "partial 16S ribosomal RNA". It matches the Rfam family "Bacterial small subunit ribosomal RNA", at positions 338 to 795 of the family's 1533-position model. The record is from RNAcentral.
CCUACGGGUGGCAGCAGUGAGGAAUAUUGGACAAUGGGCGCGAGCCUGAACCAGCCAAGUAGCGUGAAGGAUGACUGCCCUACGGGUGGUAAACUUCUUUUAUAAUGGAAUAAAGUGAGGCACGUGUGCCUUUUUGUAUGUACUUUAUGAAUCAGGCUCGGCUAACUCCGUGCCAGCAGCCGCGGUAAUACGGAGGAUCCGAGCGUUAUCCGGAUUUAUUGGGUGUAAAGGGAGCGUAGAUGGGUUGGUAAGUCAGUUGUGAAAGUUUGCGGCUCAACCGUAAAAUUGCAAUUGAUACUGGCAGUCUUGAGUACAGUUGAGGUAGGCGGAAUUCGUGGUGUAGCGGUGAAAUGCUUAGAUAUCACGAAGAACACCGAUUGCGAAGGCAGCUUACUAAACUGCAACUGACAUUGAUGCGCGAAAGUGUGGGGAUCAAACAGGAUUAGAUACCCUUGUAGUC